Podarcis lilfordi (Lilford's wall lizard) is the source of this 82-nucleotide non-coding RNA. NCBI's taxonomy places the organism in Eukaryota, Metazoa, Chordata, Lepidosauria, Squamata, Lacertidae. The record is from the annotation of a GenBank genome assembly.
CCCGCUGAAUUUAAGCAUAUUAGUCAGAGGAGGAAAAGAAACUAGCCAGGAUUCCCUCGGUGGUGGCGGUGGCGGAAGGGAA